UACGUAGGUGGCAAGCGUUAUCCGGAAUUAUUGGGCGUAAAGCGCGCGUAGGCGGUUUUUUAAGUCUGAUGUGAAAGCCCACGGCUCAACCGUGGAGUGACAUUGGAAACUGGAAAACUUGAGUGCGGAAGAGGAAAGUGGAAUUCCAUGUGUAGCGGUGGAAUGCGCAGAGAUAUGGAGGAACACCAGUGGCGAAGGCGACUGUCUGGUCUGUUACUGACACUGAUGUGCGAAAGCGUGGGGAUCAAACAGA
This 253-nucleotide ribosomal RNA is filed under the name uncultured bacterium. Its description in RNAcentral is "partial 16S ribosomal RNA". It matches the Rfam family "Bacterial small subunit ribosomal RNA", at positions 524 to 776 of the family's 1533-position model. The record is from RNAcentral.